AGCCCCGGGGUGUCACAUAUGGGAUUGCAAACCCCAAGAAGCAGAGUAACGUCUGCCGGGGCUU
This 64-nucleotide transfer RNA is filed under the name Synodus kaianus (Gunther's lizard fish). Its description in RNAcentral is "tRNA-Cys". Lineage: Eukaryota; Metazoa; Chordata; Actinopteri; Aulopiformes; Synodontidae. RNAcentral also lists the same sequence under 1 other name. The record is from RNAcentral.